GUACAGAGGGUUUUGAGCUCUUUAGUGCAGGUUCGUUCACCUGUCUUUCUAAAA
This 54-nucleotide transfer RNA is filed under the name Brachymeles taylori. Its description in RNAcentral is "partial tRNA-Glx". Lineage: Eukaryota; Metazoa; Chordata; Lepidosauria; Squamata; Scincidae. The record is from RNAcentral.